This is an RNA transcript of Spodoptera frugiperda (fall armyworm), 3371 nucleotides long. It is a transcript of the gene named ATP-dependent Clp protease ATP-binding subunit clpX-like, mitochondrial, with no coding region annotated. The transcript has 15 exons. NCBI's taxonomy places the organism in Eukaryota, Metazoa, Arthropoda, Insecta, Lepidoptera, Noctuidae. The record is from RefSeq and is a predicted model, not a curated record.
UAUCGAAACAACGUGGUACAAAAAUUUCAUUUUCUUUCACAUCAAAAUCAGCUGUGAACAUCAGUAUGGCCGCUCCAUUAUCUAAAAAAUAAAAUUGUUUUUGUAAAAUCAUACAAAAAAAAUAGUAAAGUGCAGUUUUCGUACUUACACCAUCUAAUUGUACAUUUUGCGAAUAGUGUUGAUGUUGACUAAAAGUGUUGCGUCAUGACAGAGACCUCUCACUGACAAACAAAUACAAUAAAAAUUGCGACUCGCUUAUUACGGCGACUUAUUGUAAUUUCUAUUGGACUCGUAUAACGUUACUGUCGUUCGGUUGAGGGCUGAUGUUAUUACUGAAUCGUUAUCGAAAUUUAUAUAAUGAGUAGUGUUAGAUUGAGUUUUGUAUCCGUGGGAAGGAUAGCAGUGAGAAGAAAUUCACAAAUAUCGGGUGCUCAGCCAUGUCGUACUUUACGACGGACGUGCCCUCGAGACUUCAGCACUUGCUCGGUGCUGUGCAAGAGCCCCACCGAGCAACCACCCGGACCACCACACUCACACCCACCAAAGGAAGCUGCUAAUUCAGGUUCAACAUCAGGUGGCAAGAAGUCAGGGUCUGGUAACAACAAUGGAGUCCUCACGUGCCCAAAGUGCGGCGACCCCUGCACCCACGUCGAGACCUUCGUUAGUUCCACACGGUUCGUCAAGUGCGACAAGUGCCACCACUUCUUCGUGGUACUCAGUGAGGUUGACACUAAGAAGAGCAUUAAAGAUAAUGCGGAUAAUAAGUCUGGAUUCUACAGAAAACCUCCACCGCCUCCUAAGAAAAUCUUCGAAUACCUAAACAAACACGUCGUGGGCCAGGAGUACGCCAAGAAGGUGCUGUCAGUGGCCGUGUACAACCACUACAAGAGGAUCUACAACAACGUGACCAGCGUCGCGCCGGCAGACGCCCACCAUCCUUUACAUCACACGCACAGAGAUCUCCUCCACUUAAGUCACGGCAACAACAGCGGCGGCGCCGAGGUGCUGGAGCGCCAACACCACGAGCUGAGGCUCGACAAGAGCAACGUGCUGCUUCUGGGACCCACUGGAUGCGGUAAAACUCUGUUAGCACAAACGAUAGCGCAAUGCCUGGACGUGCCGUUCGCGAUCUGCGACUGUACGACGCUCACACAGGCCGGUUACGUCGGCGAGGACAUCGAGAGUGUCAUCGCCAAACUGCUGCAGGACGCCAAUUUCAACGUGGAGCGAGCACAGACGGGUAUCGUGUUCUUAGACGAGGUGGACAAAAUCGGUGCCGUGCCGGGCAUACACCAGCUUAGGGAUGUUGGAGGCGAGGGCGUGCAGCAGGGCAUGCUGAAGAUGCUGGAGGGCGCGGUGGUGUCGGUGCCGGAGCGGAACUCGCGCAAGCUGCGCGGGGACGCCGUGCAGGUCGACACCACCAACAUACUCUUCGUCGCCAGCGGGGCCUACAACGGACUCGACAGACUGGUGCAGCGGCGCAACAACGAGAAGUACCUGGGGUUCGGCGCGUGGGACCCGCGGUCGGGGCGGCGCGCGGCGCUGGCGGCCGCGGCCAGCGACGCCAGCCCGCUCGACUCCGCGCGCGCUGAGAACGACGAGCGGGACGCCUGGCUGCGCAAGGUGCAGGCCCGGGACCUCAUCGACUUCGGGAUGAUACCGGAAUUCGUCGGAAGAUUCCCAGUUUUAGUACCUUUCCAUAGUCUCAAUCAAGAUCUGCUCGUACGGAUACUAAAAGAACCUAAAAAUGCUAUGGUAUCUCAAUACAAACUGCUGUUCGCGAUGGACAAGUGCGAGCUGACGUUCAGUGACGAGGCGCUGAAGGCCGUCGCGGCGCUCGCCAUGGAGCGGAAGACUGGGGCCCGUGGGCUUAGAGCCAUCAUGGAGAACCUGCUCCUGGAGGUGAUGUUCGAGAUCCCGGGGUCGGACAUAGCGUCGGUGCACAUCCACGAGGGCUGCGUGUCGCGCGCCGAGCCGCCGCAGACGGCGCGCCGCCGCGACCACGCCGAGCCGCGCGCCGCCGCCCGGGACCUCGACGACUGGCCCUCGGUGCGCCUGCAUAACUAAUGUCGUUUCCACGGCGGUCUGGCCAAGAUCGCAAAAUGGGUGUUCUAUGUGAUAUUUUAGGCUCAAGGCUACAGUUACGCAACCAUCUGUCACUCAUUCGUGUGUGCUGUGAGCGGUAACAAGUAUGGUGGUUACAAACGAACGGACGUCAAGUGUUUAGUUAGUGAAGCCGACUGUACUUCACUCUAGCGGCUCACGACAACCGAGGUAAGAACUGUUUGUUACUGAAGUAGACACCGCACCGCUGUGCGGUAUAUUAGUGUUGAAAAAUAUAAAAAAAAAUGCAACGUUUUGAUUUAGUGCUUUUUUGUGAAAUUGUGCGUUGUGACGUUCGGGAGUCCUGUUUUAUAAGACUUAGUAUUCCUAACAUCAUUCCUGUUUGUAGGUUUGAUUGACACUCCAUUCUCGGAUUGCCUUUUUUCUGUUAUCACGGCAUCCGUAAUGGCAGUGUCCUCCAUUGUUAAGUCCGCAUGUCGUAGUGAUUAUACUUGUAUUAGCAAUUUGCCCAACUCAGUGUUACAUACAAAUGUAGAUUUAUCGAUGUAUCCUAUAUCAGCAUUUGAAUCGAACGGCCAAGUUAAUAGUAUAUGGAACUACUGUUUUAGCGAUAAGUUAACUGUAGUAAAUUAGGACUCCUGAGUAAGCUUAGUUCCAGCUAGCAUUUCAUGAAAAAUGUGAUGGUUUGAACUAAAAGUUUUCUGCGUGAUUUAUUUAAAAUCUUUUCGAUUCUAUCCUAAAUUCAAAAAGAUAGAAAACUUUUUGUUUGAACCUAAAAUUAGACCUUAUGGGUCCUUACUGUUAGUUCCUUACGUUAGUUUAUGUUGGAAAUAAAUGUUGUAUUGUCAACGACCACCAUACAACAUACUCUUGUGAUGUAAAUUACUGUAAAUAAUAAAUGAUAAUGAUUAAUAGAAAAGAAACUGUUAUAAUUAAGGUUUAUUAAAAUUAAAAUAGGGUUCAUUAUUGUACAUCCCAGAUAAGUUGUAAGUACGAAAAGUCACACGCAGAUGUUGUUAGUAUAAAAUAGAUAUUUUUUAUUUCGGCCGGCAACACUGAGAAGGAAUGACGUUUUGACAUUUUGUUAAUUAUUAUACAUAAUUAUUUUUUUAUUUAUAAAUGGAUCGUUGUGGUGUGAUUAUAGUAAGUGUGAAUAUUUUUUUGUUAAAAAACCUCCAAAAAAUUGUGUCUAAUAUAAUUCUGGACUUGUGAUAGGAUAAAUUUUAUGGCAUGUUGAUAUAAUCACAUUGCAACUCGAGUAAAAUAGUAUAAGCCUAUUUUCAAUUUAAAAUAUAAAGAAAACCAAA